ACCUGGCUGGCUUAGUUGGUGGAGCAUGGGACUCUUGAUCUCAGGGUCGUGAGUUCAAACCCCACCCUGGGCA
RNAcentral lists this transfer RNA (73 nucleotides) under Mustela putorius furo (domestic ferret). It matches the Rfam family "tRNA". From Rfam's summary of the family: Transfer RNA (tRNA) molecules are approximately 80 nucleotides in length. The record is from Rfam by way of RNAcentral. Lineage: Eukaryota; Metazoa; Chordata; Mammalia; Carnivora; Mustelidae.